UCCUGAGUUCGGGCAAUUCUUGUGCCUCAGA
This 31-nucleotide non-coding RNA is filed under the name Homo sapiens (human). The record is from RNAcentral. Lineage: Eukaryota; Metazoa; Chordata; Mammalia; Primates; Hominidae.